Molecule: unclassified non-coding RNA, 213 nt
Filed under: uncultured Pleosporales
Lineage: Eukaryota; Fungi; Ascomycota; Dothideomycetes; Pleosporales
Also listed under: 1 other name
Description: sequence contains ITS1
Rfam family: Eukaryotic small subunit ribosomal RNA (bases 1-46)
Source: RNAcentral
AAGUCGUAACAAGGUUUCCGUAGGUGAACCUGCGGAAGGAUCAUUACCUAGAGUUGUGGGCUUUGCCUGCUAUCUCUUACCCAUGUCUUUUGAGUACUUACGUUUCCUCGGUGGGUUCGCCCGCCGAUUGGACAAUUUAAACCCUUUGCAGUUGCAAUCAGCGUCUGAAAAACAUAAUAGUUACAACUUUCAACAACGGAUCUCUUGGUUCUG